AAAGAAACAUGGCUACAUUUUGAAGAACUGGGAUCCGUCCUCAGAAACGAACAAUAACCCUUGCCGGUGACUGCCAGGACCAGUCAGUUGCUGCACUGCCUCUCUAAGACACAGAGAAAAAUAAGGCUCCAUCCCAAUAUUUUCAGAACUGGAACCAUUAUAAUUUCUAUUUUAUGGAUGGAGAAACUGAGGCCUGUGGAAUUCAUGAAAGGCUAGCUGGAGAUCCCAAUAUGAGUAAGUAAGAGGAACGAGUUUCUUUUGACUUAAAAUUUUGCACUCUUUCAAAUAAAAAGCCUGCAAGUGCUGUAAUGAUCCAUCUUCCUUUUGUGUGUAUUAUGCUUUACUUUCUAGUCUAUUUAUCAUUGUCUGAUGUAUUUUACAGAUUUAUUACUUUCAUUCUAAUAAUGCUUGUUAAUCAAUGCUCCCUACUGAGUUUUGAUACCAGGUCACACCCCCUUGAAUGGCUUUUGUUCCUGUAAUUGUUCAGCUCUGAAUCAUCUUAAACACAGAUAAAAGCAAUGAGGUCUACUGGACAACUUUGAUUCAAAUAAAAGAAUCAAAGCUAGUUCUAUGAUCAAAUCUGAUGAUCCUGGGCUGCUUCUGGAGUCUCCAAAAUUUGGCAAUAUUUUCACUUUAUUUUUUUUAUUAUGUUAUGUUAAUCACCAUAUAUCACAUCAUUAGUUUUUGAUGUAUUUUCACUUUAUUGGACCAACUUACAGAACCUCUUGAAGCUACUGCUGGUUGUCAGACCUUGUGACAAUGUGUCAUACGUACAUAGGUCUCAGCAGAGUUUCUGAAGCUUUGUAUAUGGAGGCCUUAAAGAAUUCUUUUCCAAAUUGACCUGCAUUCCAGGAACUAAGUUGUAGUAACUCAUAGUAGCAAUUAUUCAUGCUACGCAAUGUUUUCAUACUCCAUAGAUACCUCAAUAGAAAUGCAUGUCAAACAUGAUAUCCCAACUGGUAUAGGAACAAAAACCCUAAACUCUGAGUCAGAUGACAUUAAUUCUCUAUUUCUAGCUAGCUGUAUAUAUGUGAGUAACAUUUCUGUGCUUCAGUUUUCUCACAUGAAAAGAAGUGUAAAUGAAAUCAGAUGUUAUCAUAUGUCUCUAACUUUCUGGUAUUCAUUGCCCUACAACAGUUCUUUUGUAGAAACUUUUCUUCAGUUUCUACCCAGUGUGAGCUUUUCUUCCCACAAGGUCUCCCUGAAUAAAAAAGCACAGUUCUUAAGGAAGACUUAAUAACAUCUUUCCACUUCAAAGUUUACUUUGGUUGUGUAAGAAGUUUAAAAUAUCUGGAAAUUAUUUUUUUGGA
Mirounga angustirostris (Northern elephant seal) is the source of this 1310-nucleotide long non-coding RNA. RefSeq lists it as uncharacterized. The transcript is spliced from 3 exons. The record is from RefSeq and is a predicted model, not a curated record. NCBI's taxonomy places the organism in Eukaryota, Metazoa, Chordata, Mammalia, Carnivora, Phocidae.